UAUGUGAUCGUCUCUCGCAUAUCAAUAAGCGGAGGAAAAGAAACUAACAAGGAUUCCCCUAGUAACGGCGAGUGAAGCGGGAAGAGCUCAAAUUUGAAAUCUUAAAGGGUUUCCCUUUACGAAUUGUAGUUUAAAGAAGUGUUUUCUGUUGAGGUUUUGGUAAAAGUUCUUUGGAAUAGGACAUCAUAGAGGGUGAGAAUCCCGUAUUUGACCUUUACUUUCAACUUUGUGAUACACUUUCAAAGAGUCGGAUUGUUUGGGAAUGCAGUCCCAAAAUGGGUGGUAAAUUUCAUCUAAAGCUAAAUAUUGGCGAGAGACCGAUAGCGAACAAGUACCGUGAGGGAAAGAUGAAAAGAACUUUGAAAAGAGAGUUAAACAGUACGUGAAAUUGUCAAAAGGGAAGCGUUUGACACCAGUGUUGUUUUUCUGAAAAUCAAUUAAAGAACUGUUUAUGCCAAGUUGUUUAGACUUUAUCAGCUAACUGUUUAGUUUUGAGCUUUUCUUUAAUGCACUUUUCAGUUAACAAGUCAACAUCAAUUUCUUUUGCUGUAAAAAAGCUUGAGGAAGGUGGCUUGAGAUUCGUCUUAAGUGUUUAUAGCCUCUUGCCUAUGCAGUCGGAGAGAUUGAGGUCUGCAGCGUAGAUCCUUCGGGGCUAAAUGCAUUUGUGCUAAGUUAUAGCAUUUUAUAGACAACUUGUUGACUAUGAUUUGUCUUGUAGCUUACUCGCUUAUGUUAUUUUACCUACGCUUAGGAUGUUGAGUAGCGACAUACGCAC
RNAcentral lists this ribosomal RNA (775 nucleotides) under uncultured Neocallimastigales. Its description in RNAcentral is "partial large subunit ribosomal RNA". It matches the Rfam family "Eukaryotic large subunit ribosomal RNA", at positions 24 to 649 of the family's 3401-position model. The record is from RNAcentral. Lineage: Eukaryota; Fungi; Neocallimastigomycota; Neocallimastigomycetes; Neocallimastigales.